GUGGGGAAUCUUCCGCAAUGGGCGCAAGCCUGACGGAGCAACGCCGCGUGAGUGAAGAAGGUUUUCGGAUCGUAAAGCUCUGUUGACAGGGACGAGAGGAUGCAUCAGGAAAUGGGUGUAUUAGGACGGUACCUGUCGAGGAAGCCACGGCUAACUACGUGCCAGCAGCCGCGGUAAUACGUAGGUGGCGAGCGUUGUCCGGAAUUAUUGGGCGUAAAGGGAGCGCAGGUGGGAAGACAAGUCAGUCUUAAAAGUUCGGGGCUCAACCCCGUGAUGGGAUUGAAACUGUUUUUCUUGAGUGCAGGAGAGGAAAGCGGAAUUCCUAGUGUAGCGGUGAAAUGCGUAGAUAUUAGGAGGAACACCAGUGGCGAAGGCGGCUUUCUGGACUGUAACUGACACUGAGGCUCGAAAGCGUGGGGAGCGAACAGG
Molecule: ribosomal RNA, 429 nt
Filed under: uncultured rumen bacterium
Lineage: Bacteria
Description: bacterial SSU rRNA
Rfam family: Bacterial small subunit ribosomal RNA
Source: RNAcentral